CCUACGGGAGGCAGCAGUGGGGGAUAUUGCACAAUGGGGGAAACCCUGAUGCAGCGACGCCGCGUGUGGAAAGACGGUCCUCUGGAUUGUAAACCACUGUCCCCAGGGACGAAGAUGACGGUACCUGGGGAGGAAGCUCCGGCUAACUACGUGCCAGCAGCCGCGGUAAUACGUAGGGCGCGAGCGUUGUCCGGAAUUACUGGGUGAAAAGGGAGCGUAGGCGGGGAUGAAAGUUGGGUGUCAAAACUACCGGCUCAACUGGUAGUCGCACUCAAAACUGCAGCUCUUGAGUGAAGUAGAGGCAGGCGGAAUUCCUAGUGUAGCGGUGAAAUGCGUAGAGAUGAGGAGGAACACCAGUGGCGAAGGCGGCCUGCUGGGCUUUUACUGACGCUGAGGCUCGAAAGUGUGGGGAGCAAACAGGAUUAGAUACCCGAGUAGUC
Molecule: ribosomal RNA, 440 nt
Filed under: uncultured bacterium
Lineage: Bacteria
Description: partial 16S ribosomal RNA
Rfam family: Bacterial small subunit ribosomal RNA
Source: RNAcentral